Molecule: long non-coding RNA, 406 nt
Organism: Phyllostomus discolor (pale spear-nosed bat)
Lineage: Eukaryota; Metazoa; Chordata; Mammalia; Chiroptera; Phyllostomidae
Exons: 2
Source: RefSeq, a predicted model, not a curated record
ACUGUCAACCGGGUCCGGGGAUCGGGGCCUGUCGGGCGGAUCCCGACUGCCAUCCCCCUCCGGCAGCGCUAGGCCGUGCCGCGGGGAGAUCCAAGUUCACUGCUAGAAUCUUGGAUCUAUUAAGUCCACCAAGCCAUGAUGAACAAUGAUCCCCAAAGCUGCCUGCAUGUUGAAGAGUGCCACAUACUGACCCAAGGGGCAGCUCUUACCCCUGGCAGUGGUUGGAGCACACACCUCUGCAAGCAGAGACCACCAGACCUGCUGGCUGGGAAUGAGUGGCAGCCGAACAGUGAGAGGCACUAGUGAAUACCUGAGCACGUGGUGCUGCGCCUUUCGCCUGCUGUCUGCUCCUGCUUGCUUGUGGUUGUUUGGCUUGUUGAAGGAAAUAAAUGACUAAAAGCUGUUU